AGAAUCAACGCUGGCGGCGUGCCUAACACAUGCAAGUCGCACGAGAAAGGGUAGCAAUACCUGAGUAAAGUGGCGCACGGGUGAGUAACACGUGAAUAAUCUACCUCCGAGUGGGGAAUAACUGAGAGAAAUCUUAGCUAAUACCGCAUAACACUUACGAGUCAAAGCAGCAAUGCGCUUGGAGAGGAGUUCGCGGCCGAUUAGUUAGUUGGCGGGGUAAUGGCCCACCAAGACGAUGAUCGGUAUCCGGCCUGAGAGGGCGCACGGACACACUGGAACUGAAACACGGUCCAGACUCCUACGGGAGGCAGCAGUGGGGGAAUUUUGCGCAAUGGGGGAAACCCUGACGCAGCAACGCCGCGUGGAGGAUGAAGCCCCUUGGGGUGUAAACUCCUUUCGAUCGGGAAGAUAAUGACGGUACCGAUAUAAGAAGCCCCGGCUAACUUCGCGCCAGCAGCCGC
RNAcentral lists this ribosomal RNA (461 nucleotides) under uncultured bacterium. Its description in RNAcentral is "SSU rRNA". It matches the Rfam family "Bacterial small subunit ribosomal RNA", at positions 26 to 518 of the family's 1533-position model. The record is from RNAcentral.